CUGGUGAACACACCAUCUGCGGACAUUGCAGGGCAGCAGUCAUGUGCACGAUGAUGAACGUGAUACAAGCUUUAGCUCUUUCUUGUUUCUGCUGGAUUUCUGUCUCAGGUUCUGAGUUUCAGACCUCAGAGGUGCAGGCAGGUGAAAAUGUCACUCUGCAGUGCACCAAGUUUUCCAAAAGUUUCUUUAUGACUUUCUGGUUCAGACUGGUCAGCAGAAACACAGUCAGCUCUAUCGCUGUUAUGUUAAAAUCUACAAGAGUUAUAUACGAUGCUGAAUUUCAAAAUGGAAAAUUUGAAAUGACACAAACAACCUCUGAUGUCUUCCUCAAAAUCAAAGAAGUGGAUGUGUCUGACUCUGGGCUGUAUUUCUGUGAAUUUCUCUCAGAAGGACGUCUCAAUGUAACCGUCAUGCAAUUAAAGGUUGAAGACACCGAUGAGCCUCAGGAUGACAUGGACUGCAUCUCUAAACAGGCUCACGAAGUAGCAAAGCUGACGAGUGUCACCCUGGGUGUUCUGUCUGUUUUCCUCUUAAUGCUCAUCACUGGUCUGGCUGCUCAAAACAUGAAAUUUCAAAAGGGUACUUUUUAACAGCUACAAAAUCUCUCUUAUAGUCUUUACUUUUUAUUGAUCUUCAUAAGUGUGUAAUUGGUUUAUGAACUAGAGUAAUACUAUGUUGUUUUUUCGGGGCUCAGCAAAUAAAGAAGAACAGAAUCUGGACCAGAGCACGGAGAGUAAUACUUUUAUGCUCUGAUUUGCAAUGUGAUUGUACUAGUGAUGUGUUGGUCGCGAACGUAAUGGCUCUUAGAGCCGACUCUUUGAAGUGAACAACGCAAGCCGACUCCUUAUUGGGAUCCGUGGGGUUUUUUUUUUUCUUUCUCUCGCUGUCUCUCUCGCACUUUUUUUCCG
Long non-coding RNA from Oreochromis niloticus (Nile tilapia), 908 nucleotides. RefSeq lists it as uncharacterized. The record is from RefSeq and is a predicted model, not a curated record. The transcript is spliced from 4 exons. Lineage: Eukaryota; Metazoa; Chordata; Actinopteri; Cichliformes; Cichlidae.